AGCGCAGAGACAGGUGGUGCAUGGCUGUCGUCAGCUCGUGUCGUGAGAUGUUGGGUUAAGUCCCGCAACGAGCGCAACCCACGUCGUUAGUUGCCAGCAUUUAGUUGGGCACUCUAGCGAGACCGCCGGUGAUAAACCGGAGGAGGGUGGAUGACGUCAAGUCAUCAUGCCCCUUACAUCCUGGGCUACACACGUACUACAAUGCUACGGACAAAGGGCAGCAAACUCGCGAGAGCUAGCAAAUCCCAUAAACCGUGGCUCAGUUCAGAUCGUAGGCUGCAACUCGCCUACGUGAAGGAGGAAUCGCUAGUAAUCGCAGGUCAGCAUACUGCGGUGAAUACGUUCCCGGGCCUUGUACACACCGCCCGUCACACCAUGAAGUGGCCACG
This 389-nucleotide ribosomal RNA is filed under the name uncultured Synechococcus sp. RNAcentral describes it as "bacterial SSU rRNA". It matches the Rfam family "Bacterial small subunit ribosomal RNA", at positions 1025 to 1418 of the family's 1533-position model. The record is from RNAcentral. Lineage: Bacteria; Bacillati; Cyanobacteriota; Cyanophyceae; Synechococcales; Synechococcaceae.